GUUGAUUCAGAAUGGUGAAAUCUCUCAAAAUUAAAUGAGAGAAUUUCAAGUUUUCGGAGCAUAUAUUUAGUGUUAUAUAUCACUAGUAUUAAACAGCUCCAUGUGUAUACAAUUGCAUCGGCGUUACCUGUCUCCUGGAACAUUGUUUUUCAAUUGUUUUUAGUAGAAAGUUGUUGGUGAUGGAUGUGAUGAUAUUUCCCCAGAUGAUCGAAUCUGAAAUAACUGAGCGCUCAUUUUAUGUUUCUCCUUUCUGAGAAAUUCAAGCCAGAAAUCUGAUCCAUCUUUAUAAUUGUGUUUUGUUUAAUUAUAAAUAUUUGAAUUUUAUUAUGUGUUUUGAUAAGCAGUGAGUGGAAAUGAUGAUUAUUUCCCCAGAUGAUCCAAGUUGAUUGUACUGAGCGCAUUUAAAUAUAUUCUCUAUUACUUUAUAGAGAAUCCAAGCCAGAAAUCUGAUCCUAUCUCUGUUUAUCUUGAUAAAGAUAUGAGUUCCUCUGAUGAUGAUUUAAAUAAAACUUUUGUUCUUCCGAGGAUGAUAUUCGUCUAUGCGGAAACAAUUAUUGGAGACCUGAACUGAAGAGGC
RNAcentral lists this long non-coding RNA (577 nucleotides) under Helianthus annuus (common sunflower). RNAcentral's name for it is "hypothetical non coding rna". The stretch from base 1 to 145 matches the Rfam family "small nucleolar RNA snoR137". The record is from RNAcentral. Lineage: Eukaryota; Viridiplantae; Streptophyta; Magnoliopsida; Asterales; Asteraceae.